UAGGGAAUCUUCCACAAUGGGCGAAAACCUGAUGGAGCAAUGCCGCGUGAAUGAAGAAGGUCUUCGGAUCGUAAAGUUCUGUUAUUAGAGAAGAACAAGUCAAGGAGUAACUGUCUUGACUUUGACGGUACCUAACCAGAAAGUCACGGCUAACUACGUGCCAGCAGCCGCGGUAAUACGUAGGUGACAAGCGUUGUCCGGAAUUAUUGGGCGUAAAGGGAGCGCAGGCGGUUGGAAUAGUCUGAUGUGAAAGCCCACGGCUUAACCGUGGAAUUGCAUUGGAAACUGUCCAACUUGAAUGCAGAAGAGGAAAGCGGAAUUCCAUGUGUAGCGGUGAAAUGCGUAGAUAUAUGGAGGAACACCAGUGGCGAAGGCGGCUUUCUGGUCUGUGAUUGACGCUGAGGCUCGAAAGCGUGGGAGCGACAGGAGUAGUAUACCCUCGGUA
This 445-nucleotide ribosomal RNA is filed under the name uncultured bacterium. Its description in RNAcentral is "bacterial SSU rRNA". It matches the Rfam family "Bacterial small subunit ribosomal RNA", at positions 355 to 792 of the family's 1533-position model. The record is from RNAcentral.